Vidua macroura (Pin-tailed whydah) is the source of this 614-nucleotide long non-coding RNA. RefSeq lists it as uncharacterized. The record is from RefSeq and is a predicted model, not a curated record. The transcript has 2 exons. NCBI's taxonomy places the organism in Eukaryota, Metazoa, Chordata, Aves, Passeriformes, Viduidae.
GAACGGGAGCGGCAACCGGGCCCGGAAAGGGGCAGCUGCCGCUCAGGGACGCCGCGAUCCCACGGAGGGUCAAGCUGCGGAAGCCUUCCCUCUCUAAUGAGCCCAUAAAUAUUAACGCCUUCUCAGUGACGAGUGAUUGAGAAUUCACAGGAUCUAAAUCUAAUUAUUGCGAGCUGAGUAACAUACCAAGGAGAAAACAAGAUGCCAAGACCCCAUUGAACGCUUGGUCUCGGCCUUUUCUAAGUGUAGUUUGAAUACGAAGUAUUUUUUUUCCUUAUUACAAACUUUUCUGCACCUAAUUACCUCAUUAUACCACAAAGUACUAUAUUUCUGGAAGAUAUUAAUCUUUUCCCUCACACUAGCAAUGAAACUCAGCUACAGAACAAACGGCCAGGUUACAUACUGGAAUCUUCGUGGAUCACUCAGACCUAUCUUCAUGGUUCUGGGAUUUGACUAUAGGCUUGUUUCCUCUGGUAAGCUCAACUUAAUUAUUUUUGAGAACAAAGCGGCUCUGGCAAAAUAUGGUGCCUCACACCACAGAGUGAAAGACAAGCAAGUAAAGUCGUCUACACCUUAAAGAGAAGCAUUUUGAAAAAUAAAAUCAUACCUUUUGU